AUUGAACGCUGGCAGCAUGCCUUACACAUGCAAGUCGAACGGUAACAGGUUAAGCUGACGAGUGGCGAACGGGUGAGUAAUAUAUCGGAACGUGCCCAGUCGUGGGGGAUAACUGCUCGAAAGAGCAGCUAAUACCGCAUACGACCUGAGGGUGAAAGCGGGGGAUCGCAAGACCUCGCGCGAUUGGAGCGGCCGAUAUCAGAUUAGGUAGUUGGUGGGGUAAAAGCCUACCAAGCCAACGAUCUGUAGCUGGUCUGAGAGGACGACCAGCCACACUGGGACUGAGACACGGCCCAGACUCCUACGGGAGGCAGCAGUGGGGAAUUUUGGACAAUGGACGCAAGUCUGAUCCAGCCAUGCCGCGUGCGGGAAGAAGGCCUUCGGGUUGUAAACCGCUUUUGUCAGGGAAGAAAAGGUUCUGGUUAAUACCUGGGACUCAUGACGGUACCUGAAGAAUAAGCACCGGCUAACUACGUGCCAGCCGCCGCGGUAA
This 493-nucleotide ribosomal RNA is filed under the name uncultured bacterium. RNAcentral describes it as "partial 16S ribosomal RNA". It matches the Rfam family "Bacterial small subunit ribosomal RNA", at positions 30 to 523 of the family's 1533-position model. The record is from RNAcentral.